AGGUGAAGUGAUUUACUCAUGGAGCUGAAGUCAGUCGAAGAUACCAGCUGGCUGCAACUGUUUAUUAAAAACACAGCACUGUGCAAACACGAAAGUGGACGUAUACGGUGUGACGCCUGCCCGGUGCCGGAAGGUUAAUUGAUGGGGUCAGCGCAAGCGAAGCUCCUGAUCGAAGCCCCGGUAAACGGCGGCCGUAACUAUAACGGUCCUAAGGUAGCGAAAUUCCUUGUCGGGUAAGUUCCGACCUGCACGAAUGGCGUAAUGAUGGCCAGGCUGUCUCCACCCGAGACUCAGUGAAAUUGAACUCGCUGUGAAGAUGCAGUGUACCCGCGGCAAGACGGAAAGACCCCGUGAACCUUUACUAUAGCUUGACACUGAACAUUGAGCCUUGAUGUGUAGGAUAGGUGGGAGGCUUUGAAGUGUGGACGCCAGUCUGCAUGGAGCCGACCUUGAAAUACCACCCUUUAAUGUUUGAUGUUCUAACGUGGACCCGUAAUCCGGGUUGCGGACAGUGUCUGGUGGGUAGUUUGACUGGGGCGGUCUCCUCCUAAAGAGUAACGGAGGAGCACGAAGGUUGGCUAAUCCUGGUCGGACAUCAGGAGGUUAGUGCAAUGGCAUAAGCCAGCUUGACUGCGAGCGUGACGGCGCGAGCAGGUGCGAAAGCAGGUCAUAGUGAUCCGGUGGUUCUGAAUGGAAGGGCCAUCGCUCAACGGAUAAAAGGUACUCCGGGGAUAACAGGCUGAUACCGCCCAAGAGUUCAUAUCGACGGCGGUGUUUGGCACCUCGAUGUCGGCUCAUCACAUCCUGGGGCUGAAGUAGGUCCCAAGGGUAUGGCUGUUCGCCAUUUAAAGUGGUACGCGAGCUGGGUUUAGAACGUCGUGAGACAGUUCGGUCCCUAUCUGCCGUGGGCGCUGGAGAACUGAGGGGGGCUGCUCCUAGUACGAGAGGACCGGAGUGGACGCAUCACUGGUGUUCGGGUUGUCAUGCCAAUGGCACUGCCCGGUAGCUAAAUGCGGAAGAGAUAAGUGCUGAAAGCAUCUAAGCACGAAACUUGCCCCGAGAUGAGUUCUCCCUGAGACUUAGAGUCUCCUGAAGGAACGUUGAAGACGACGACGUUGAUAGGCCGGGUGUGUAAGCGCAGCGAUGCGUUGAGCUAACCGGUACUAAUGAACCGUGAGGCUUAACCUUACAACGCCGAA
Molecule: ribosomal RNA, 1199 nt
Filed under: Salmonella enterica subsp. enterica serovar Agona
Lineage: Bacteria; Pseudomonadati; Pseudomonadota; Gammaproteobacteria; Enterobacterales; Enterobacteriaceae
Description: partial 23S ribosomal RNA
Rfam family: Bacterial large subunit ribosomal RNA
Source: RNAcentral